This 406-nucleotide long non-coding RNA is filed under the name Vitis vinifera (wine grape). RNAcentral's name for it is "long non-coding RNA (VVIN_LNC001316)". Lineage: Eukaryota; Viridiplantae; Streptophyta; Magnoliopsida; Vitales; Vitaceae. The record is from RNAcentral.
UUUCUAGUCAUCUUAUUGAAGAAAACUCAAUCAUGGGGCGCAAUGCUACUAAUGUUGUUUGCAAAGUUUCUCCCCUAGUCUAUUCAUCUGAAACUUGCUCGUCAGAAACUAAAGUUGGUGAGCCUUUUGGGAAUGAUGAUGGAGAUGCCUCAAUUGUGCCUGUAUCAAGUAAGACAGUCAUUGAGGUGAAUAAGAAUGAAAAUUUGGAGGAUAAUUCAUGUUCAACAAUGUCAAUUUCAGAAAGUGAAGCUCCUGUCUUGGACCUUCCAAUUUGCAACCAUGAAAAUCAAUGUGAUGAUGGAGACACCCCAACUGUACCUGUAUCAAGUAAGACUGCUGCUGAGGGGAAUAAGAACCAAAGUUUAGAGGAUAAAAUGCAUUCUACCAUGUCUAGUUUGGAAAAAGC